GGAAUUGACGGGGGCCCGCACAAGCGGAGGAGCAUGUGGUUUAAUUCGAUGAUACGCGAGGAACCUUACCUGGGCUCGAACGUAAGAUGACUGUAGGUGAAAGCUUACAUCUCUUCGGAGCAUUUUACGAGGUGCUGCAUGGUUGUCGUCAGCUCGUGCCGUGAGGUGUCGGGUUAAGUCCCGCAACGAGCGCAACCCCUGCAUUCAGUUGCCAUCGGGUAAUGCCGGGCACUCUGGAAGGACUGCCAUCGACAAGAUGGAGGAAGGUGGGGAUGACGUCAAGUCAUCAUGGCCCUUAUGUCCAGGGCGACACACGUGCUACAAUGGCCGGCACAACGGGAAGCGAGUUCGCGAGGACGAGCGGAUCCCUCAAAGCCGGUCGCAGUUCGGAUUGAAGUCUGCAACUCGACUUCAUGAAGCUGGAAUCGCUAGUAAUCGUGGAUCAGCCAAGCCGCGGUGAAUACGUUCCCGGGCCUU
This 477-nucleotide ribosomal RNA is filed under the name uncultured Sphingobacteriales bacterium. Its description in RNAcentral is "bacterial SSU rRNA". It matches the Rfam family "Bacterial small subunit ribosomal RNA", at positions 906 to 1382 of the family's 1533-position model. The record is from RNAcentral. Lineage: Bacteria; Pseudomonadati; Bacteroidota; Sphingobacteriia; Sphingobacteriales.